RNAcentral lists this unclassified non-coding RNA (399 nucleotides) under soil metagenome. RNAcentral's name for it is "partial contains 5.8S ribosomal RNA, internal transcribed spacer 2, and large subunit ribosomal RNA". The stretch from base 1 to 120 matches the Rfam family "5.8S ribosomal RNA", at positions 35 to 154 of the family's 154-position model. The record is from RNAcentral.
GAUGAAGAACGCAGCGAAAUGCGAUACUUGGUGUGAAUUGCAGAAUCCCGUGAACCAUCGAGUCUUUGAACGCAAGUUGCGCCCGAAGCCUCGGCUAAGGGCACGUCUGCCUGGGCGUCACGCAUCGCGUCUCCCCCAAACCGCCAAGGCGGAGGGGAAGGAAGAUGGCUUCCCGUGCCUCACCCGGCGCGGUUGGCCUAAAUUUGGAGCCCGCGGCACUUAGCUCUCGCGGCGAUAGGUGGUGCACAAGGCCUUGGCCGUGCAAACAACCCGCUGCGAAGCUCUAUGUCACGUGCGCUCGUCGGACCCUUUGAAGUUGCCUUCGGUGACUUAAAACCUUUGCGACCCCAGGUCAGGCGGGGCUACCCGCUGAAUUUAAGCAUAUCAAUAAGCGGAGGA